AUCUGGAGUUACCUCUGAAUCCAGAGGUGAUGCACACACGGACUUUGUGAAGUGGACUCAGAAAUGAGGAGAUUAUUCCCUCUGCAGUCAGGAGCUCACCGCCCCCCCCGAGCAGUAUCGAUCGUCUCAUCUAACUCUCGGCUGGAAGAUGCUCCUGAUCCGUUUUGAGCAGAAGAUACUGUCCACCACAGCCUAUGGGAAUUCCAAUUUGUGACCUGUCUUCAACCCUUUCCGUUCGUUUGUUGGGUUUUAAGCAAGAUGACUGGACGGAUUUUUGUAUUGCUUUCUUUAACAUUGUUCAAUUUGAUAUCUGAGUGUGUGCAGCUUGAUUGCAUUUAAAGACUGUUGGGCCUUAAUUAGAAGAGGUAUAUGCUCGUCUAAGUGCUAUUCUAGUUUGUAAAUAAAAUCUUUUCCAUA
Hippoglossus stenolepis (Pacific halibut) is the source of this 417-nucleotide long non-coding RNA. RefSeq lists it as uncharacterized. Lineage: Eukaryota; Metazoa; Chordata; Actinopteri; Pleuronectiformes; Pleuronectidae. The record is from RefSeq and is a predicted model, not a curated record. The transcript has 3 exons.